Molecule: ribosomal RNA, 1186 nt
Filed under: Coxiella endosymbiont of Rhipicephalus pusillus
Lineage: Bacteria; Pseudomonadati; Pseudomonadota; Gammaproteobacteria; Legionellales; Coxiellaceae
Description: bacterial SSU rRNA
Rfam family: Bacterial small subunit ribosomal RNA
Source: RNAcentral
GACCUCGCGCUAUGAGAUGAGCCUGCGUCGGAUUAGCUAGUUGGUAGGGUAAUGGCCUACCAAGGCGACGAUCCGUAGCUGGUCUGAGAGGACGAUCAGCCACACUGGGACUGAGACACGGCCCAGACUCCUACGGGAGGCAGCAGUGGGGAAUAUUGGACAAUGGGGGAAACCCUGAUCCAGCAAUGCCGCGUGUGUGAAGAAGGCCUUCGGGUUGUAAAGCACUUUCAGUGGGGAAGAAAUUCUCAAGGCUAAUACCCUUGAGCGUUGACGUUACCCACAGAAGAAGCACUGGCUAACUCUGUGCCAGCAGCCGCGGUAAUACAGAGAGUGCAAGCGUUAAUCGGAAUCACUGGGCGUAAAGCGCGCGUAGGUGGAUAUUUAAGUCGGAUGUGAAAGCCCUAGGCUUAACCUGGGAAUUACAUCCGAUACUAGGUAUCUCGAGUAUGAUAGAGGGAAGUGGAAUUUCCGGUGUAGCGGUGAAAUGCGUAGAUAUCGGAAAGAACACCAGUGGCGAAGGCGGCUUCCUGGAGCAAUACUGACACUGAGGCGCGAAAGCGUGGGGAGCAAACAGGAUUAGAGACCCUGGUAGUCCACGCCGUCAACGAUGAGAACUAGCUGUUGGAAAGUUUACUUUCUAGUAGCAAAGCUAACGCGUUAAGUUCUCCGCCUGGGGAGUACGGCCGCAAGGUUAAAACUCAAAGAAAUUGACGGGGGCCCGCACAAGCGGUGGAGCAUGUGGUUUAAUUCGAUGCAACGCGAAAAACCUUACCUACCCUUGACAUCCUCGGAACUUGUCAGAAAUGACUUGGUGCCUUUGGGAACCGAGUGACAGGUGCUGCAUGGCUGUCGUCAGCUCGUGUCGUGAGAUGUUGGGUUAAGUCCCGUAACGAGCGCAACCCUCGUCCUUAGUUGCCAGCGGUUCGGCCGGGAACUCUAAGGAGACUGCCGGUGAUAAACCGGAGGAAGGUGAGGAUGAUGUCAAGUCAUCAUGGCCCUUACGGGUAGGGCUACACACGUGCUACAAUGGGCAGUACAAAGGGUUGCCAAACCGCGAGGUAAAGCCAAUCCCAAAAAGCUGCUCGUAGUCCGGAUUGGAGUCUGCAACUCGACUCCAUGAAGUUGGAAUCGCUAGUAAUCGCGAAUCAGAAUGUCGCGGUGAAUACGUUCUCGGGCCUUGUACACA